AAUGGUUUCGACGGGGGCAAGUUGCUCCUGGGAAGCGAGUCGAAGGGAUCCUGUACCUGCGUUAAAAAACUGGGAAUUUAAAUAUAAUUGCAAACGAUAAUUUUGCAUUAGCUGCCUAAUAGUUGCAGCUCGUCAGCCUAAGAGUCCCACGACUUAGGGUCUGGCGUCGACAGUGGGGAACCGAGCCUUACAAAGCUUUGAGUAAGGAACGGAAUUAAUGAAGCUACUGAAUCUAAGAGCCUGUUUAUCAGCGCUUAGAGGAGGGAAUGUAAAAGGAUAAACUGCACUCGGAGAUGCCCAGGGGUUGCUGCUUCCGGACAGGGGUUCGAUUCA
This 333-nucleotide transfer-messenger RNA is filed under the name Clostridium botulinum. It matches the Rfam family "transfer-messenger RNA". From Rfam's summary of the family: Bacterial tmRNA, also known as 10Sa RNA or SsrA, is named for its dual tRNA and mRNA-like properties. Lineage: Bacteria; Bacillati; Bacillota; Clostridia; Eubacteriales; Clostridiaceae. The record is from RNAcentral.